UACGAAGGGGGCUAGCGUUGCUCGGAAUUACUGGGCGUAAAGGGAGCGUAGGCGGAUAGUUUAGUCAGAGGUGAAAGCCCAGGGCUCAACCUUGGAAUUGCCUUUGAUACUGGCUAUCUUGAGUACGGAAGAGGUAUGUGGAACUCCGAGUGUAGAGGUGAAAUUCGUAGAUAUUCGGAAGAACACCAGUGGCGAAGGCGACAUACUGGUCCGUUACUGACGCUGAGGCCCGAAAGCGUGGGGAGCAAACAGG
RNAcentral lists this ribosomal RNA (253 nucleotides) under uncultured bacterium. Its description in RNAcentral is "partial 16S ribosomal RNA". It matches the Rfam family "Bacterial small subunit ribosomal RNA", at positions 524 to 776 of the family's 1533-position model. The record is from RNAcentral.